UACGGAGGGGGCAAGCGUUGUUCGGAAUUACUGGGCGUAAAGCGCGCGUAGGCGGUCAACUAAGUCAGAUGUGAAAUCCCCAGGCUUAACCUGGGAACUGCGUUUGAAACUGGAAGGCUAGAGUGUGGCAGAGGGGGGUGGAAUUCCCAGUGUAGCAGUGAAAUGCGUAGAGAUGGGGAGGAACACCGAUGGCGAAGGCAGCCCCCUGGGCUGAUACUGACGCUGAUGCACGAAAGCGUGGGGAGCAAACAGG
This 253-nucleotide ribosomal RNA is filed under the name uncultured bacterium. Its description in RNAcentral is "partial 16S ribosomal RNA". It matches the Rfam family "Bacterial small subunit ribosomal RNA", at positions 524 to 776 of the family's 1533-position model. The record is from RNAcentral.